RNAcentral lists this long non-coding RNA (339 nucleotides) under Mytilus galloprovincialis (Mediterranean mussel). The record is from RNAcentral. Lineage: Eukaryota; Metazoa; Mollusca; Bivalvia; Mytilida; Mytilidae.
AAAAAGUGUAGAGAAUUCUCUGGCAUAUAUUUUACUGUAUUUCACUAUAUGUGUAAAGGGAGGGAGAUUGACUCUUUUAUGAAAUACAAUUAACGCAAAAAAUGUUACUCAUAAUGAUAGUAUAUUUUAGCUCCAAAAAGGACAGCACCACUUAUUCUAUAUACGAGUGCAACACUUUGACAUCGUUAUUGUGGAGAGUUACUAUUGAUGUCCAUUUCAUAUACAUUUGUAUAUAUAGAAAAGCAAUUUUAGUUUAUAGUAAAGCACUUCGACAAAUGUCACCGCAAUAUCUCAAUGCAUGUAUAUAUGUGCAUCAAGUUAGUUCUAGCACAUCCACAC